Molecule: transfer RNA, 75 nt
Filed under: Sandaracinaceae bacterium
Lineage: Bacteria; Pseudomonadati; Myxococcota; Polyangiales; Sandaracinaceae
Description: tRNA-Gly
Rfam family: tRNA
About the family: Transfer RNA (tRNA) molecules are approximately 80 nucleotides in length. Their secondary structure includes four short double-helical elements and three loops (D, anti-codon, and T loops).
Source: RNAcentral
GCGGGUGUAGCUCAGUGGUAGAGCGUCAGCCUUCCAAGCUGAAUGUCGCCGGUUCGAACCCGGUCGCCCGCUCCA